This 72-nucleotide transfer RNA is filed under the name Camelus bactrianus (Bactrian camel). It matches the Rfam family "tRNA". From Rfam's summary of the family: Transfer RNA (tRNA) molecules are approximately 80 nucleotides in length. The record is from Rfam by way of RNAcentral. RNAcentral also lists the same sequence under 1 other name. Lineage: Eukaryota; Metazoa; Chordata; Mammalia; Artiodactyla; Camelidae.
GUGGGUAUAGCUCAGUGGUAGAGCACACGAUUAGCAUGCACGAAGUCCUGGAUUCAAUCCCCAGUACCUCCA